AUAAAAAGUACACCAAGUGGAUGCCUUUCUACUCCAGGAAGCCGCAGCAUACGGCCUGAAGGAGGAAGGACGCGGUCAGUUUGAAAUAGCUGAAUCGAUGACAUCCUGAAAGCAGCAAUGCAGUUAAGCUGGGCCAGUUCUGCAGAUGAUCAGACGGAGUUCGCCAUCAUCACAUCCCUCAUUGCUGCAGUCAGACUGAAACAGGACGGUGAUGCAUGGCAGUCAAUGCCCGAGAUACGGAUGAUGAAGAGACCACAGCAACAUCUGGUCCAGAUGAGGACACAAGGGCAGGUGGACUGAUGCAGGGUCUCGUUUAAUUCACUACAGGAGAACAGGAGUGGCCAAACUCAGUCCAGAACUGCUGCUGUCUUGCAGAGUUUAGUUGAAGUUGACUCUAAACUUCACCAGCCAUCCAGAACUAAGUUUGGGCACCCCUGCAUUACAGCAUUUCCAGGAUGCUGCUGUGGACUUCUUUACACUCACCACAUACACCAAUCUGCAGAUAUUUCAAAUCAUACAAAACAUAAAAAAACAUUCAAAAAACAAAGUAAUUUUACUGCACAAUGUGUCAUUUGAUUUCUGUAGUGCUAGUAAUAAAAUUAUCCUACCUCUUA
This is a non-coding RNA of Danio rerio (zebrafish), 614 nucleotides long. Lineage: Eukaryota; Metazoa; Chordata; Actinopteri; Cypriniformes; Danionidae. The record is from RefSeq and is a predicted model, not a curated record.